AGAGCAUGGACAUGAGGGUCCCAACUCAGCUCCUCAGCCUCCUCCUGCUGUGGCUCCCAGGAGCCAGAUGUGAUAUCCAGAUGACCCAGUCUCCAUCCUCUCUGUCUGCUUCAGUGGGAGACAGAGUCAACAUCACUUGCCGAGCCAGUCAGAGCAUUGGCACUGAGUUAGACUGGUAUCAGCAGAAACCAGGGACAGCUCCUAAGCUCCUGAUCUAUCAUGUGUCCAAUUUGCACACCGGUGUCCCUUCGAGGUUCAGUGGCCAAGGAUCUGGGACAGAUUUCACUCUCACCAUCAGCAACCUGCAGCCUGAAGAUUAUGCAAUUUAUUACUGUCAACAGGAUUAUAGUACCCCUCCCACAGUGUCAUAA
Hipposideros armiger (great roundleaf bat) is the source of this 371-nucleotide non-coding RNA. Lineage: Eukaryota; Metazoa; Chordata; Mammalia; Chiroptera; Hipposideridae. The record is from the annotation of a RefSeq genome assembly.